This is a non-coding RNA of Taeniopygia guttata (zebra finch), 3392 nucleotides long. The record is from RefSeq and is a predicted model, not a curated record. Lineage: Eukaryota; Metazoa; Chordata; Aves; Passeriformes; Estrildidae.
AGUGUUUGGAUUUCCUGAAAUCCCUGCUAUCAGCCCAAGUGCUGUCCACUGAGCAGACCUUUUUCUCUCUCUCGUUUCCCCCCACCCCACCCCCCUUUUUUUUUUAAACUUUGCUCACAUGGUAGGUUUUCCUUCCUGCUUUCUUUCCAGUUGUAGUGCCUGUGUCUCCUCACCGGUCAGGACAUUUAUGGAUUCUGAUCAACACCCUUAGACUCCACAACUCUGAGGAUUGCCGUACAUUGGAUUUCCUUUUUAUUAUUAUUAUUAUUUUAUUUCACUUUAUCAUUCUGUGGCAAGAAAACCUGAAGAAACAUGCUCUUUUUCAGCUGCCCACGGGAGAAUAUGUUUUAAUCUGAGAUGGAAUAAUGGCUUUAGGCUUGAGGACCAAAUCUGGAAUGGGAAUUCAGACUGCACACGUCCUGGUAGGUUUCUGGUCGUGACAGAUGAGACAUGAGAUCUUCAGCAUCCAGGCUUUCAAGUUUUUCUUCAAGAGAUUCACUAUGGAAUCGGUAAGAAAGACAAAAGACAUAAAUAUAAAUAACUCAUUUAAGAAGUAAAAAGCAGACCAGAUGUUUUAUCAAUUCUAAUAUCUGCUAGUGGGUUUUUUUCUGCUUAAUGCCACUUCAGACUUUACUACAGUGGGUGUUCCUCAGAAAAAAGUCUAACUAUUGCCUUUCAAGAAUCAAAAGUCCCAAUAAAUCAGUAAAUCCUUACAAAGCAUCGACCAACUGAGCAAUUAUUGGAACAAACACCAACAUUUAUUACAUAGUUUGCUUUGCUUUCAUAGAUUUCAAAGCUAGAUGAGGGGGGCUGGGUAUACAAAGGACAUUGUAACUCCUUUCAACUCAUCUAGAUCUUGUAACUGAUGUUGUUUUAACUUUGAAAACAACAAAUCUCUCAGCUCAGCCUGAAAAAUCUAUGGCAAGAUUUGUGUGGGGCCUUGAAAAGAGGAGGGACUCUCUUCUUUGCAUGAUGUAAAGUGCUGAAUAGCACACAGUUGUCUAAAUAUGCUUUUUGUUUAUUCAGUCUCUGGAUGGUGAGUUCUCUCAUUUUAAAGUUUUCAUUCUCUUUCACUGAACCACUAAAAGCUACGUUUGGAUUGCCUGACUUGAAUCCCCUACAACAACAAUACUGAUGGUUAAGGUUGAAGUUUUCUUUGUACUGGGUGCACAGGCUGGCCUACCCUGGCACAGAUCACUGCUCCCUGUGCGACCACAGAGCACUGUGGGACUUUCAUCAUUUCUUCCUCCCUGGGGGAAUCAGUUGACCAUAUUGCAAUCCAGACCAGCCAAGAGGGUGAAUCACUGCUGCUGAUCUUCUCAAAACUGAAUAAAUCCUCCUCUGGCACAUUUGCUUUGUCACAUGGCUAUACAUACUUUUCCUUUUUGAGUCCAUGAGGUCUUAAAUAAGCAAGAGUUCAGAAGCCAAACAGUCAUAUUUAAAAAAAAUAGCGCUAUUAAGCUGGACAUUCCUAUUUGAUUUGAAAUGGCACUUCCAUUUUUAUGUUCUACUGCUCCUAGAUUUCCUUGAAGGAAAUCACAACCACCAACAAGAAAAUAAGUAGUGCUAACAUCCCUGAAGUUAAUGAAACCAAAUUUCCUACAGAUCUGUGUCUUGAUGAAGCUCCUGAGGAGGUGCAAACCAUCAUUGAAACUCUUCCCAUGACUGGGACACUUAAGGGAUCUUUCUCUCACACUGAUCAACUUGACAAAAAACAAAGUGACAGAGAACCUUUCCUAUUCAAAGGGCAAGAAACAUUUUUCCCCUGCUCAUUUUUAUUUUCCCACAAAACUUUUAGGAGCUGAAGAUUUUUGACAUCUUUCCUGAUGCCCUUUCCAAUUUUCUGAGAUCAGCAUUGCUUUAACAAAAAUCCUUAGAGGCAGAACAGAUGAGCAGAUGGUCAACCUCUACAGUAGCCAAUGGAGCACCAGUUAACUUAAGAAGCUGCAAGCUCAAAUUCAGUGGUUAAAAGUAGAAGCAAAUGAGUAAUCAGCAAAAGGAGCUGCUGGGAUGGACCUCUAGACUGAAAUUCUGCACUGCUAAAUUUCAUUUAGCACCAUGUGAACACUGGCCCAACAGAAAUUUGGUACACACAGCAAGACUAUGUUCCAAAAAUUUCCAUAUGGUUAUAUGUCAUCCUGGGUUUUACCAGAACCUUAUGACUUCAACAUUCAAACAUCUACAUUAAUAAAACCUGCAAAACAUAAUUUUAAAUAUGAGUAAUUUUGCUUGAGCAUAAAGGAAACAUGUCUCAAAUUAUUUCAGAUCUUAUGUAUUAUUAAAAAUUCUGGUUUCCUCAAUAAAAACAAACAAAUAUGCAAACAAAAUAAACAUAGACAAAUAAAACCCAAAAAGCAUCACUCCUGAAUUGAAAAUUUCUUAUGCUACUUGCAAGUCUAGAGUCUGGCCAAGUGAUGCAUCCUUGAAAACAGUAGCUUAUAUAAGGGAAGCACAGAUGUGCUAAUAUGUUCAGUGGUUGCAAGGACCUUUUUUUAUAACAUCCAACAUCUGCAGAUUUAUUUCCAGCCUUUCUCUAAUGAGAUGCUAUUUAGGAAAUUAUGGGAAAUAAAGUAUGCAGAGACAACACUAUAAGCUAGCACCUAAACUGGCACUCAGUAGGCCCAUACACAUUCACAUCUGCAAACUGUGUUUUAGCAAAGCUUGCUAAUGACUUCUGUUUAUUAUCAUGGGGAUCCUUGUCCCUCUUUUUCCACAAAGUAAUGCUAAUAAAACUAUAAUAAAGAGAGAGGAGACCCUCACAAACACAGAUCUUUCUGAUUUAUAUUUUCACAGCAUUACUAGUAGAAAGAAAUCCUUUCAUUUACCUGCCAAACCUUUUUGUCUGUCAGAAAAAGUGUUGCCUCAACCCCCAGAUACUUUUUGAAACUCUUACAAUAAAAUAUAUAUUAAAAAAUACUUGGUUCUGACACAUCAGUAUUCAGCUGAAAAAGACCAGUGUUCUUUCACCUAGAAAAAGAAAUAUAAUUGUCUGCAUUCCACAAAUAGAGAAAUGAUGCACACAGAGAUCAGUUGCCAUGUCAGAGACAUGAGUGGCAGCUCAAGGACAUGAUCCCAGGUCUACAGAGCCUUUAUUUCAUUCUUCAGCUGCUUCACAGGUUCAUUUUGGUCUGAACCUUCAUUUUUACUGCAGGCAAAACACUGCAUGUUGCCAUCAGCAUACAUUUAGCAGCUUCAGUAGAACCAGAGAUGUGCCUGGUAAUGACACAGCCAUAUCGUUUCCAGAGGGAAAGAGAAAAUAUUGAAAUGUUUGCAAUGUGGGUUGAGGCUUUAUUUCAUUCUCUUUUUAUUUUGGAGAGCCUGCUAUGCCAGCUGCCCUGCAACAUGUUCAUUUCUGCAGUAUCACGCUCUGAUUUUAGUCAUUGCUAUUUCUC